Long non-coding RNA from Amblyraja radiata (thorny skate), 546 nucleotides. RefSeq lists it as uncharacterized. The transcript has 2 exons. The record is from RefSeq and is a predicted model, not a curated record. Lineage: Eukaryota; Metazoa; Chordata; Chondrichthyes; Rajiformes; Rajidae.
GGGGUCUGGAAAUCCCGCAAGCUGCUGCGCUGUUCCGGCCCAGUCUCUGAGGUCAGGUUCAAAACUCGAUGUCUAAGGUCCUCCAUUCUGAUUUUAAAUUUAUCUCCCAAAUUUCUCUUAUUCCAGAUUAGGGCCUUGGUGACAGCCUCCUGCACACGAUCAGUGGGCUGGCCCUGGCGGUAUUCAUCAUCCAAAUAUUCCAGACUGUUUUGCUCGCGGAGACCGCUUGCCGAACUCUUCCCGACUGGGCAACGAUUUUCCAGUUUCGCUAUCUCUGUAGCUUCUUCAGGGAAAGAGAUCUGAUUCUCAUCGGUUAGGGUUUUUAAGGGGUAGGUUGAUGUUCCUCUCUUUCUGGGUGGAGCUUCCCAUGUGCUCGGUCCUAGGACCGGUCACUUUGGUUGGGCUCUACCUGUUCUUUGUUUGGACUGGUCGGUCCACUUCCAUUGUUUGUAAUGUUAUCAAAUGUAUCUGGUAUCUUGUAUCAUUUGCUGCUAGUGUUUUCAGCCUCUCUUGAUCAAUAAAUGUCCAAAUUCCUCUUGUCCACUA